UACAAACCGUGAGAACGUUAUUCGGAAUCAUUGGGCUUAAAGGGAGAGUAGGCGGCGACAUAAGCUGGAAGUGAAAUCCCAUCGGCUCAACAGUGGAAUUGCUCCCAGUACUGUGUCGCUCGAGGGGGAUAGGGGUCCGCGGAACUACCGGUGGAGCGGUGAAAUGUGUUGAUAUCGGUGGGAACGCCAGCGGCGAAAGCGGGGGACUUGACCCUUCCUGACGCUGAGGCGCGAAAGCUAGGGGAGCAAACGGG
Molecule: ribosomal RNA, 254 nt
Filed under: uncultured bacterium
Lineage: Bacteria
Description: partial 16S ribosomal RNA
Rfam family: Bacterial small subunit ribosomal RNA
Source: RNAcentral